Molecule: ribosomal RNA, 253 nt
Filed under: uncultured bacterium
Lineage: Bacteria
Description: partial 16S ribosomal RNA
Rfam family: Bacterial small subunit ribosomal RNA
Source: RNAcentral
UACAGAGGUCCCAAGCGUUGUUCGGAUUCACUGGGCGUAAAGGGUGCGUAGGUGGCAAGGUAAGUUCGGUGUGAAAUCUCUGGGCUCAACCCAGAAAUGGCAUUGAAUACUCUCUUGCUAGAGGAUCGGAGGGGAGACUGGAAUUCUCGGUGUAGCAGUGAAAUGCGUAGAUAUCGAGAGGAACACCAGUGGCGAAGGCGAGUCUCUGGACGAUCCCUGACACUGAGGCACGAAAGCUAGGGGAGCAAACAGG